GUCUAUACAAGGAAAGCAGUGAGGCCUGACUUGCAAAGUUGAUGGGUGGAGCAAAUCAGUGUUUCUGUAAAAUUCUCUGGCACAUAGUAGGUGCCCAGUCAGUAUUGUCUGGCUGAUGUUGUUCUGGGUCACCAAAUGCACCGACCUUCAAAGCCAGAGGGACUUGCCUGCCCAGCCCCUUCCCUGCUCACAUGUCCCUUCCACUAAGCGCUCACCUAGCCAGCUCCGGGCAGGAAGCUUCCCUGCUUGGCUGAUCAGAGGCGUCUGGCUGAUCAGAGCUGCAGUUGGUUGCAGCUCAUUCUGGAUGGGACAUCCUGCCAAGUCAGGCCAUGUUCUCCUACACUUUGCUAAUCCGAGUGAAAGUAACUAGGGCCCUUUCCUUCUGGCCUUUCCCCUGGACAUCGUCGAGAGGGCCACUGCACGGGAACGCAGGGUGCGGUGUCAUGAGUCAUUUGCUGGUGUGUCUUUGUGGCCACACUUGUCUGCAGGCUUUUGCUAGAACAGCCCCCACCCCCACCCCUGGGCCCCGUCGCCAAAAUAACCCAACAACAUCAAGCCAAAGAGAGAGUCAUCUGGGGACAGGCUCUUGUUCUGAGUCCUUGGGCCCCAGUCUGAGGUCACAGAGUAGGCUGUCUGCUUCCAGGAGGCAGUGGGCUCUAGCCUGGCGAAACAGAGCUGGCCUUUGAGACUUCCCGAGAAGAAUCUUAGAAACUUUCCAGCCAUCUGCCCAAUACCUUGAGUUUUGGGUACCAUUCCUCUUGAGGCCAUGAACCAAUAGCGUUGGUGUCAGCUGGGGGCUGGUUGAAAAUGUAGACUCUGAGACCUCAUAACAAAACUACUGAGUCAGAACUUACAUUUUAGGAGUUCCUGUUGUGGCUCAGAGGGUUAAGAACCCGACUAGUAUCCUGAGGAUGUGGGUUCUAUCCCUGGCCUCCCUCACUCAGUGGGUUAAGAUCUGGUGGCACCGAAAGCUUCAGCAUAGAUUGCAGAUGCGGCUCAAGAUCCUACAUUGCUGUGGCUGUGCUGGAGGCCGGCAGCUGCUGCUCCAAUUUGACUCCUGGCCUCGGAACCUCCCUAUGCUGCAAGUGCAACCCUAAAAAAAAAGAACUUACAUUUCAGCAAGACGGCUAAGAGUUUUGGGUGCUCGUUAAAGGUUGAGAAGCACAGAUUGGGGUUUAGAUCACGGUUCUCAACCACAGACACACAUUAGAAUCACCUUGAAAAACUGUAAAAACUGUGCUGGUUCCCUAGGUCCUAAUCCAGACCACUGAGUCAGAAUCACUGGGGAUAAGAUCUGAUCAUAUGGAAGUUCCCAGGCUAGGGGUUGACUCAGAGCUGCUGCUGCUGGCCUGUGCCACAGCCACCACCAUGUAGGAUCUAAGCUAUGUCUGCAACCUUCAUAGCAGCUCACAGCAACACCAGAUCCUUAACCCACUGAACGGGGCCAGGGAUGGAACCUGUAUCCUCUUGGAUGCUAGUUGGGUUUGUUACGGCUGAGGCAUAAUGGGAACUCCCAGACCCUUGGCUUUGGGCUGGAUGGCCCUGAAUGAGAUGAUCAGAUGGUAAUAGUUGCUGUGUAUUGAGCUCCUACUUACAUGAAAGGCUUUUAUCUAGAAUCUUCUUUCCAAACCUGAAAGGUGCCAGGCCUCUCACUGUCUUACAUGAGAAAACUGAGGCUCGGAGAGGUGAAGCUAGGCGCCUAAGGCUGUAUACGUAUUGGAACUGGAACUGUCUGCCUGGAAGCUUCUUUUGCCAUUACCUCAUAGUGACUGGAGCUUGUAAUGGUUUGGAAGGUCCUGGUUCUCGUUGGAAAAUCUGGCAGGGGAUUCUUUUCUGUCUCGGUGUCCAUGGUACCUUCAGACUGUGUGGUUUUAGGACCGUUCAGUUGGAGGAGAAGGACAGCAGCUUUCCAUCUUCAGCUUCAUGUAUCUCUUAGACUGAGGGGCUGGGGUGUGUGUAUGGGGGUGAGGUCAGUGACAGACAAGUGGCACAUGAAUAAUGGAAAAGUCUUCAGGAGAAGGAGGAAUUUCCAAAGGUCACAGAGACUCCGACUCAGCUGUAUUCAUUUCAAGCUGGCUUUGCCCGAGUCGCUUUAUCCCUGUGGCCCCAGGCUCCCUUCUUCCCCUGGAAGAACUCGGGGGUGGGGGUGGGGGGAGCACUCUUGCUGCUCUUUCUGGUUCUGCAAAUCUGGGUUCUAAGAUCAAAGUGGGGAAACUGGACCAGAAUGAGCCAAACAUAGACCCCUGGAGCAGCUGGGCGGCAGCGUGGGGCCAGGUGG
RNAcentral lists this long non-coding RNA (2278 nucleotides) under Sus scrofa (pig). RNAcentral's name for it is "lncRNA (ENSSSCG00005028878.1)". Lineage: Eukaryota; Metazoa; Chordata; Mammalia; Artiodactyla; Suidae. The record is from RNAcentral.